UGGCUCAGAACGAACGCUGGCGGCGUGCCUAACACAUGCAAGUCGAGCGCGAAUGGGGAAACCCUAGUAGAGCGGCGCACGGGUGCGUAACACGUGGAUAAUCUGCCUGGAUGCCUGGGAUAACCAGUCGAAAGAUUGGCUAAUACCGGAUAAGCCCACGGCCUCUUCGGAGACUGAGGGAAAAGGUGGCCUCUGUAUACAAGCUAUCACAACCAGAUGAGUCCGCGGCCCAUCAGCUAGUUGGCGGGGUAAUGGCCCACCAAGGCAACGACGGGUAGCUGGUCUGAGAGGACGAUCAGCCACACUGGAACUGAGACACGGUCCAGACUCCUACGGGAGGCAGCAGUGGGGAAUUUUGCGCAAUGGGCGAAAGCCUGACGCAGCAACGCCGCGUGUGUGAUGAAGGUCUUUGGAUUGUAAAGCACUUUCGACCGGGACGAAAACCCGGAGGCUAACAUCCUCCGGCUUGACGGUACCGGGAGAAGAAGCACCGGCUAACUCUGUGCCAGCAGCCGCGGUAAUACAGAGGGUGCAAGCGUUGUUCGGAAUUAUUGGGCGUAAAGCGCGUGUAGGCGGCUUUGCAAGUCGGGUGUGAAAGCCCUCAGCUCAACUGAGGAAGUGCGCCCGAAACUGCAGAGCUUGAGUGCCGGAGAGGGUGGCGGAAUUCCCCAAGUAGAGGUGAAAUUCGUAGAUAUGGGGAGGAACACCGGUGGCGAAGGCGGCCACCUGGACGGUAACUGACGCUGAGACGCGAAAGCGUGGGUAGCAAACAGGAUUAGAUACCCUGGUAGUCCACGCCGUAAACGAUGAGAACU
Molecule: ribosomal RNA, 815 nt
Filed under: Corallococcus sp.
Lineage: Bacteria; Pseudomonadati; Myxococcota; Myxococcia; Myxococcales; Myxococcaceae
Description: bacterial SSU rRNA
Rfam family: Bacterial small subunit ribosomal RNA
Source: RNAcentral